UAUGAUAUGAUACAGUAUGGAUAGAUUCAUGAUUAUGGAAAAUUAUUUGGUAAUUUAUGGUUCUUCAGUUAUUUACUUUCGUUGAUUGAACCCUCUGAGCUUAUGGGGAGCCAUAUUGUGUUAUUUACUUUUCCAAACUUAUUGGCUUAUGAGGGCAAUUUAGUAGUUAUAAUUGUGUGAUCUUUACAUUACUAUUAAAGAUUUAUUUAUUU
This 212-nucleotide long non-coding RNA is filed under the name Capsicum annuum. RNAcentral's name for it is "long non-coding RNA (CANN_LNC001136)". The record is from RNAcentral. Lineage: Eukaryota; Viridiplantae; Streptophyta; Magnoliopsida; Solanales; Solanaceae.